RNAcentral lists this ribosomal RNA (253 nucleotides) under uncultured bacterium. RNAcentral describes it as "partial 16S ribosomal RNA". It matches the Rfam family "Bacterial small subunit ribosomal RNA", at positions 524 to 776 of the family's 1533-position model. The record is from RNAcentral.
CACGUAGGGCGCAAGCGUUGUCCGGAAUUAUUGGGCGUAAAGAGCUCGUAGGCGGUCUGUUGCGUCCGCUGUGAAAACUCGGGGCUUAACCCCGAGCCUGCAGUGGAUACGGGCAGACUAGAGGUAGGUAGGGGAGAAUGGAAUUCCCGGUGUAGCGGUGAAAUGCGCAGAUAUCGGGAGGAACACCGAUGGCGAAGGCAGCCUUCUGGGCCAACACUGACGCUCAUGCACGAAAGCGUGGGGAGCAAACAGG